UAGGGAAUCUUCCGCAAUGGACGAAAGUCUGACGGAGCGACGCCGCGUGAGCGAAGAAGGUCUUCGGAUCGUAAAGCUCUGUUGUUAGGGAAGAAGAAGUGCCGUUCGAACAGGGCGGCACGGUGACGGUACCUAACGAGAAAGCCCCGGCUAACUACGUGCCAGCAGCCGCGGUAAUACGUAGGGGGCGAGCGUUGUCCGGAAUGAUUGGGCGUAAAGCGCGCGCAGGCGGUCCCUUAAGUCUGAUGUGAAAGCCCACGGCUUAACCGUGGAGGGUCAUUGGUAACUGGGGGACUUGAGUGCAGAAGAGGAGAGCGGAAUUCCACGUGUAGCGGUGAAAUGCGUAGAGAUGUGGAGGAACACCAGUGGCGAAGGCGGCGCUCUGGUCUGUAACUGACGCUGAGGCGCGAAAGCGUGGGGAGCAAACAGG
RNAcentral lists this ribosomal RNA (430 nucleotides) under bacterium. Its description in RNAcentral is "partial 16S ribosomal RNA". It matches the Rfam family "Bacterial small subunit ribosomal RNA", at positions 355 to 776 of the family's 1533-position model. The record is from RNAcentral.